Long non-coding RNA from Sceloporus undulatus (fence lizard), 950 nucleotides. RefSeq lists it as uncharacterized. Lineage: Eukaryota; Metazoa; Chordata; Lepidosauria; Squamata; Phrynosomatidae. The record is from RefSeq and is a predicted model, not a curated record. The transcript has 3 exons.
GGAGAAAAAGAGAGAGCGAAAGAGAGAGGAUAUGCGAACGGCUCUCUCUGGCUGCUCUUCUCUGGGGGACCUGGGAGCGAUCCAGAGGAAAAACCCCUCCUUUGCUGGCUUAUCUGCGUAGAUGAGGUGGAGAGAGGCCAAUGCCUAAAUUCUAUCAUCAGUCCCAAUUAAAGAAGACCUAUUGACUCAAUGGGAUUUUGACUCCAGUUGAGACUAAUCUAUAGGAUUCAGGUCAGUAUGUCCUGUGGGCCAUGGUUAAGAGAGGCAGUCUAAAAGAAUCCCAAACCCAAGAUUAGGUCUUGGUGACCUGACAGACUUCCCCAGCUGCACAGCUCUCUGGAUGUGUUGGACUACAAAACCCAUCACCUACAGUUUUACCCUGCCAUUCCCCCCUCCUCAUGCUCAAUUAGGCCAGCAAUUACAUGGUCUACUGUGUGCAGAAGAAUGGUGGCCUGGGCUCCCGACAGUGAAUCCCUCCUCACAAGACUUUGCCAAGCCAUUCGCAGCCUGACUGCAGAAGAGAAACUGAGGAUCUGGGGCCAGGGAGGAGGAAAGUGACUGUGGAGUGGGUGGGUCUGGGCAGCAUGGAGAUUGGCUGAAGUGUCUGUGUGCGUUUUAAGCAGCAAACAAAAUUCAUGCUGCGUGCAUGACGAGAAUGUCAAUAGUGUUGCAUUUUCUUUUUGGACAGUGGUUUGCCUAUCCCUCCUUCCCACAAAUCCCUGCUGUCUUUGGGUUGUUGUUUUUUUCACACCCUAAACUCUUUUAAUUACCAGAGGUAUCUCAGCAACACUGUGCAUUCUCUCUCUGAAUGUGUGUGUGUUUGCAUGUACCAGUCCCUCAGGUUCUAUGGGGCCAAUUAUAAGUGAACACUGCAAGUACAAGUAUCGUGGUUUAAAAAGUUAGCAAAGAUUUACUUAUUUAAACCUUUCUAUCCCAUUGUUUAGUAUGCA